GACUGUACAACCCGUUACCUUU
RNAcentral lists this microRNA (22 nucleotides) under Branchiostoma floridae (Florida lancelet). RNAcentral's name for it is "bfl-let-7a-3p". Its record names the gene bfl-let-7a-3p. Lineage: Eukaryota; Metazoa; Chordata; Leptocardii; Amphioxiformes; Branchiostomatidae. The record is from miRBase by way of RNAcentral.